Mesocricetus auratus (golden hamster) is the source of this 1015-nucleotide long non-coding RNA. RefSeq lists it as uncharacterized. The transcript has 3 exons. The record is from RefSeq and is a predicted model, not a curated record. NCBI's taxonomy places the organism in Eukaryota, Metazoa, Chordata, Mammalia, Rodentia, Cricetidae.
GUGAGGACAGUGCUGGCCUGACACCCAGGAAGGAAAUCUAAGCCAGUAGAAGGGUUCUACUUGAAGCUGGAGGUACCAGCAGCCACAUUCAUGCCCACCUUCUCAGGUGAGAAAGGCAUCCUGGACAGCCCCCCACUGGCCCACUCCCAAUGCUCUGCAGCAGUCUGGACUUGAAAAUCUGAAGAAACUAACUUGUGAUUUAAUACACUGACUUCCGAGGGCAUUUAAAGAGAGAUCUCAAAGACAGUAGUGAUUGCAAUCCUGCCAGUAAAAAGCCAAGCAGCUCAGGUCUCCAAGCCCUAAUAUGAGCGCUGUUUGGACUCAUCAACAGACAGAGUUGCUCUAGGCCAUCAUGAGCCUGGGAUCUGGGGCCGCUGUCCAGAAGCAGAGUCUGUCUCCACUUCUCCAAGUCCUACCUCUCAUCCCGCAGCACGACAAACCCAGACUCAGCACAGGGCCCUCAUACUGGGGCAUGAACAUCAGUCAUCCUGAUGUCUCACAGCCUCUCAUGCUCAGUAUCAUCCACAUUUAACAGAUCCCCACCAACGGCUGGGAAAUGACCGAAUCUCUACACAUGAGGACCCCCAACCAGGCUUUUCCUCACUGUAAAGUUACAGACAGUGUUGAUUGUAGAGAACCCUCUGUAACGCAGCAAGAGAAUAGAGGUGGGACCUGGCAACUGCAGUACCAAGAUUAACAGGUGGAAGAAUUCCAUUUGCAGAGAAACCCUGGAAACCUUCCCCUCCCUGAGGGAGUCUUCAUACAAUUACAGAACAUGCUCAGGAAAAGCUGGAAACCUUCCCUUCCCGACCUAGGCUUCAUCUAAUGGACAAAGCAUGUGUAAGAAAAGCCCCCAUAGAAAACUGGGGAAGGUGGGUGCUACAUAAAUGUCCCAUAAAGAGUUGUGUGCUUCAUGACCUUGGGCUUUUGGGGGCUUUACCACCAAUUCACUAGUCUACUUCCAUCCCUAGUUCUUUCCUCCCUACCAAAAUGUCUCCACUUCUUCUAAGCCUGU